ACCUCCUUUCUGGUCUUAUAUAAAGGCCACUCCACAGCCGUUUCAGCACACUGGUAGUCUCGUAUUCUCCUUAUGCGCUUCUGAAAAUCUAUGGUUGGGGUUUCUCAGAUUAACCCCUCGUUCUUUUUUUAAAUAGGAUUAGGGUUUCCCGGUGAUCUUCUCUUAAUUUUCUUGCGGCUUGGUUGAUGUUUCGUUUCUUAUGGUUUCCCUGAUAAAUUAGGGUUUUGGUUGGUAUCGCCGAUGUUUCGUCGGCAACAUGUUUUGAUAAUAAGGGAGCAGAAUGAGAUCAUAUGAUGAGGAAAAAAACUGCAACAAAAUGAUCGAUUAUUAUCGUGAUUACCUAAAAAGACAGGUUUGUGAAAUGGGAGAUAUGAUGAUAAAUUUAUUUGGUCCGUGUUUCUGAUUCAACCGUGACCGACAAACCUAUACCAAUAUCUGAUUCUCCCGAUACAUCAAUUUUCAUCUUCAAUUAAUCGUGAAUCUUUUUUAUCUCUGCUGUAUUUUGUUAUGUGGAGUCAAAUACUGUUGUUUCUCUUGAUCAAAUUUUACUGCUGUGAUGAUUUAUGAAUAAAUUCACAUGUCAGACUUCAGAGACUUCUAAGUCUAUGAGAAUGUAAAUUCAUGAUUCUGAGCAGU
Long non-coding RNA from Mangifera indica (mango), 636 nucleotides. RefSeq lists it as uncharacterized. The record is from RefSeq and is a predicted model, not a curated record. Lineage: Eukaryota; Viridiplantae; Streptophyta; Magnoliopsida; Sapindales; Anacardiaceae. The transcript is spliced from 2 exons.